Molecule: transfer RNA, 66 nt
Filed under: Oyamia nigribasis
Lineage: Eukaryota; Metazoa; Arthropoda; Insecta; Plecoptera; Perlidae
Description: tRNA-Cys
Source: RNAcentral
GGCUUUAUAGUCAAUGAUGAUAUCAGACUGCAAUUCUGAAGGGGCAAAUUUAAUUUGCUAAGGCUU